UACGUAGGGUGCGAGCGUUAAUCGGAAUUACUGGGCGUAAAGUGUGCGCAGGCGGCCGAGCAAGUCGAGUGUGAAAGCCCCGGGCUUAACUUGGGAAUUGCGCUCGAAACUACUUGGCUGGAGUGUGGCAGAGGAAGGUGGAAUUCCAGGUGUAGCGGUGAAAUGCGUAGAGAUCGGGAGGAACACCAGUGGCGAAGGCGGCUACCUGGACCAGCACUGACACUGAAGCACGAAAGCGUGGGGAGCAAACAGG
This 253-nucleotide ribosomal RNA is filed under the name uncultured bacterium. RNAcentral's name for it is "partial 16S ribosomal RNA". It matches the Rfam family "Bacterial small subunit ribosomal RNA", at positions 524 to 776 of the family's 1533-position model. The record is from RNAcentral.